CGCGUAGGCGGCUUCGGAAGUCAAGGGUGAAAGCCCCGAGCUCAACUCGGGAACUGCCUUUGAAACCACGGAGCUAGAGUGUUGGAGAGGAAAGCGGAAUUUCCAGUGUAGCGGUGAAAUGCGUAGAUAUUGGAAGGAACAUCUGAGGCGAAGGCGGCUUUCUGGACACACACUGACGCUGAGGCGCGAAAGCUAGGGGAGCGAACAGGAUUAGAUACCCUGGUAGUCC
This 229-nucleotide ribosomal RNA is filed under the name uncultured bacterium. RNAcentral's name for it is "partial 16S ribosomal RNA". It matches the Rfam family "Bacterial small subunit ribosomal RNA", at positions 568 to 796 of the family's 1533-position model. The record is from RNAcentral.